CUUGCCCUGGCCCGGCCGAGGCUGCACGUCGAUGAUGUGCGCAAGACGCUUGUCGACGUUCCACAGGGUGUUCGGGUCGCCGGUCAGGCC
Molecule: transfer RNA, 90 nt
Filed under: Actinomadura livida
Lineage: Bacteria; Bacillati; Actinomycetota; Actinomycetes; Streptosporangiales; Thermomonosporaceae
Description: tRNA-Ile
Source: RNAcentral